UUUUGGACAAUGGGUGAAAGCCUGAUCCAGCAAUGCCGCGUGUGGGAAGAAGGCCUUCGGGUUGUAAACCACUUUCGUACGGAACGAAAAGGUCUGCCCUAAUACGGUGGGCCCAUGACGGUACCGUAAGAAUAAGCCCCGGCUAACUACGUGCCAGCAGCCGCGGUAAUACGUAGGGUGCGAGCGUUAAUCGGAAUUACUGGGCGUAAAGCGUGCGCAGGCGGUUAUAUAAGCCAGUUGUGAAAUCCCCGGGCUCAACCUGGGAAGUGCAUUGGGGACUGUAUAGCUAGAGGCGGUAGAGGGGCAGAAAUUCCGCCGCGAGCACCAACAGUGUGAUAUCGGAGCACACCCGUCCUUUAGGCCGUCCCCGGCCCACACUGACGUUCAUGC
This 390-nucleotide ribosomal RNA is filed under the name uncultured bacterium. RNAcentral describes it as "bacterial SSU rRNA". It matches the Rfam family "Bacterial small subunit ribosomal RNA", at positions 362 to 752 of the family's 1533-position model. The record is from RNAcentral.